GAGGAACGCUGGCGGCGUGCUUAACACAUGCAAGUCGAACGGUGAAGGCGGAGCUUGCUCUGCUGGAUCAGUGGCGAACGGGUGAGUAACACGUGAGCAAUCUGCCCCUGACUCUGGGAUAAGCGCUGGAAACGGCGUCUAAUACUGGAUACGAGCUGCGAAGGCAUCUUCAGCAGCGGGAAAGAAGUGCUGGCAGGGAAGGUCUCGCGGCCGACCAGCUGGUGGGGGAGGGAACGGCUCACCAAGGCGUCGACGGGUAGCCGGCCUGAGAGGGUGACCGGCCACACGGGGACUGAGACACGGCCCAGACUCCUCCGGGCGGCCGCGGGCGGGCGUCUUGCGCCGUCGGCGCGCGCCUGAUGCAGCAACGCCGCGUGAGGGACGACGGCCUUCGGGUUGUACCCCUCUUUUCGCGGGGCUGCGGCGGUCGUGCCGGUCCCUGCUGCGCGCGCGCCGGCUCGCUCCGUG
This 468-nucleotide ribosomal RNA is filed under the name uncultured bacterium. RNAcentral describes it as "partial 16S ribosomal RNA". It matches the Rfam family "Bacterial small subunit ribosomal RNA", at positions 31 to 507 of the family's 1533-position model. The record is from RNAcentral.